This 391-nucleotide unclassified non-coding RNA is filed under the name Hevea brasiliensis (rubber tree). Lineage: Eukaryota; Viridiplantae; Streptophyta; Magnoliopsida; Malpighiales; Euphorbiaceae. The record is from RNAcentral.
GGGUAGGGUUGAAACUGUCAGUUUGGGAGUUGGUGAAUGUUUCCCCUCUUGGUAGAGAAGGCAUCAUUCUGAAAUUGUUGAAAAAUGAGUUUAUGAGGAAAACAUUUUUCCAAACAUAUAAACCACCCAAUCAUGGAAAAAUUGGAAACAUGUUUCCUCCAUACCAAACACACCCUCAGCACCAUUAAUUAUAAAGGAAUUGGUAAAGAGGCUUAGCUAUCAAUUAGAUGACUUGUGAUUCAAAAUUAUAAUGAUAAUGAAAUGACUGCUUUAUUGUUUUGAUAAACUCUUCGUAAGCAGAUACUAUUACAGGAUUUUGGGCCAGGAAUUAAUACUCUCAUCAAGAAGAAAAGACUAUGAACUGCCACCACUGUUUUGAAUGUGAAAUUUC